CUACGGGUGGCACCAGUGAGGAAUUUUGCGCAAUGGGGGAAACCCUGACGCAGCAACGCCGCGUGAGCGAAGAAGGCCCUCGGGUCGUAAAGCUCUGUCAAGUGGGAAAAAAAUUCUUUGAUCAAUAGUCAAUGGACUUGAUGGUACCACUGGAGGAAGCACCGGCUAACUCCGUGCCAGCAGCCGCGGUAAUACGGAGGGUGCAAGCGUUGUUCGGAAUUACUGGGCGUAAAGAGCGUGUAGGCGGUUUGGCAAGUCAGAUGUGAAAGCCCUGGGCUCAACCUGGGAAGUGCAUUUGAAACUGCUUGACUAGAGUAUGGGAGAGGAGAUUGGAAUUCCUGGUGUAGAGGUGAAAUUCGUAGAUAUCAGGAGGAACACCCGUGGCGAAGGCGAUUCUCUGGACCAAUACUGACGCUGAGACGCGAAAGCGUGGGGAGCAAACAGGAUUAGAUACCCCUGUAGUC
Molecule: ribosomal RNA, 464 nt
Filed under: uncultured bacterium
Lineage: Bacteria
Description: partial 16S ribosomal RNA
Rfam family: Bacterial small subunit ribosomal RNA
Source: RNAcentral